Long non-coding RNA from Hydractinia symbiolongicarpus, 720 nucleotides. RefSeq lists it as uncharacterized. Lineage: Eukaryota; Metazoa; Cnidaria; Hydrozoa; Anthoathecata; Hydractiniidae. The record is from RefSeq and is a predicted model, not a curated record. The transcript is spliced from 2 exons.
UCUUUUGGUCCGGAUUAUACGUCCGCCGAACUUGAACACACAAAGAGGAAUAUGCCGUGAACAAGAAACGGUAGUCGGCAUUUUAGACACGUAUAUUUUACAGACCCAAAAUAUGCCUUAUUUCUUUGUAUUAUAGCUAAUUAUGGUAUAAAUAAUUAAUUAAUUACUUUGCAAUUUUGCUUCUAAUACUAUUAUAGUUGUAUUUUAAUGAAACAUAAUAGUAUUAAAACAGUUUUCUUCUUUUGAAAAAAUUUAUUGCUAGUCCUGUUUCUAAUUGACUUUACUUGUGUAUUUUAAGCUUUUUUGUUGCUGUGCUUUUUCUGGAGAUUUUAGUUGGAUUGGAAAGCUCCUGUGUAAGGUACCCUUUCCUAAAGAAAAUUGAAGUAAUUUGUACAAUUAUAACGCGCCGAGCUGUGUUUUAUUUUAUUGUUUCUAGGAGGAUGUAAGAAUACAAUAUUAUCAAUUUUAAUUGGUUUUAUCCAAAUCAAGAUUGUGUACAAUGGGAGUGAGUGAUGUAAUCUUCUAAUGCGUGUGGUGAAAAGAAGGCGAAUCCGUUAUUGUUUUUCUGCCCAAAUUUGAAGCUAUUUAAUAAAUCUUGAUAAAGUUAAAAAACUGUUUUGAUUUGUUUGUUUUUGUUUUAAUUGUUUCCCGUGAGUUUUCGAAAUUCGUUCCAGCAGAUUCUGUGGCUUCUACUGCCGGUAUUUUUACGUGAAAAAAAUA